CCCUUGUACACACCGCCCGUCACACCAUGGGAGUGGGUUGCACCAGAAGUAGCUAGUCUAACCUUCGGGGGGACGGUUACCACGGUGUGAUUCAUGACUGGGGUG
Molecule: ribosomal RNA, 105 nt
Filed under: uncultured bacterium
Lineage: Bacteria
Description: partial 16S ribosomal RNA
Rfam family: Bacterial small subunit ribosomal RNA
Source: RNAcentral